Molecule: ribosomal RNA, 2752 nt
Filed under: Escherichia coli
Lineage: Bacteria; Pseudomonadati; Pseudomonadota; Gammaproteobacteria; Enterobacterales; Enterobacteriaceae
Description: partial 23S ribosomal RNA
Rfam family: Bacterial large subunit ribosomal RNA
Source: RNAcentral
UUAACUGAAUCCAUAGGUUAAUGAGGCGAACCGGGGGAACUGAAACAUCUAAGUACCCCGAGGAAAAGAAAUCAACCGAGAUUCCCCCAGUAGCGGCGAGCGAACGGGGAGGAGCCCAGAGCCUGAAUCAGUGUGUGUGUUAGUGGAAGCGUCUGGAAAGGCGCGCGAUACAGGGUGACAGCCCCGUACACAAAAAUGCACAUACUGUGAGCUCGAUGAGUAGGGCGGGACACGUGGUAUCCUGUCUGAAUAUGGGGGGACCAUCCUCCAAGGCUAAAUACUCCUGACUGACCGAUAGUGAACCAGUACCGUGAGGGAAAGGCGAAAAGAACCCCGGCGAGGGGAGUGAAAAAGAACCUGAAACCGUGUACGUACAAGCAGUGGGAGCCUCUUAAUGGGGUGACUGCGUACCUUUUGUAUAAUGGGUCAGCGACUUAUAUUCUGUAGCAAGGUUAACCGAAUAGGGGAGCCGAAGGGAAACCGAGUCUUAACUGGGCGUUAAGUUGCAGGGUAUAGACCCGAAACCCGGUGAUCUAGCCAUGGGCAGGUUGAAGGUUGGGUAACACUAACUGGAGGACCGAACCGACUAAUGUUGAAAAAUUAGCGGAUGACUUGUGGCUGGGGGUGAAAGGCCAAUCAAACCGGGAGAUAGCUGGUUCUCCCCGAAAGCUAUUUAGGUAGCGCCUCGUGAAUUCAUCUCCGGGGGUAGAGCACUGUUUCGGCAAGGGGGUCAUCCCGACUUACCAACCCGAUGCAAACUGCGAAUACCGGAGAAUGUUAUCACGGGAGACACACGGCGGGUGCUAACGUCCGUCGUGAAGAGGGAAACAACCCAGACCGCCAGCUAAGGUCCCAAAGUCAUGGUUAAGUGGGAAACGAUGUGGGAAGGCCCAGACAGCCAGGAUGUUGGCUUAGAAGCAGCCAUCAUUUAAAGAAAGCGUAAUAGCUCACUGGUCGAGUCGGCCUGCGCGGAAGAUGUAACGGGGCUAAACCAUGCACCGAAGCUGCGGCAGCGACACUAUGUGUUGUUGGGUAGGGGAGCGUUCUGUAAGCCUGUGAAGGUGUACUGUGAGGUAUGCUGGAGGUAUCAGAAGUGCGAAUGCUGACAUAAGUAACGAUAAAGCGGGUGAAAAGCCCGCUCGCCGGAAGACCAAGGGUUCCUGUCCAACGUUAAUCGGGGCAGGGUGAGUCGACCCCUAAGGCGAGGCCGAAAGGCGUAGUCGAUGGGAAACAGGUUAAUAUUCCUGUACUUGGUGUUACUGCGAAGGGGGGACGGAGAAGGCUAUGUUGGCCGGGCGACGGUUGUCCCGGUUUAAGCGUGUAGGCUGGUUUUCCAGGCAAAUCCGGAAAAUCAAGGCUGAGGCGUGAUGACGAGGCACUACGGUGCUGAAGCGACAAAUGCCCUGCUUCCAGGAAAAGCCUCUAAGCAUCAGGUAACAUCAAAUCGUACCCCAAACCGACACAGGUGGUCAGGUAGAGAAUACCAAGGCGCUUGAGAGAACUCGGGUGAAGGAACUAGGCAAAAUGGUGCCGUAACUUCGGGAGAAGGCACGCUGAUAUGUAGGUGAAGCGACUUGCUCGUGGAGCUGAAAUCAGUCGAAGAUACCAGCUGGCUGCAACUGUUUAUUAAAAACACAGCACUGUGCAAACACGAAAGUGGACGUAUACGGUGUGACGCCUGCCCGGUGCCGGAAGGUUAAUUGAUGGGGUUAGCGGUAACGCGAAGCUCUUGAUCGAAGCCCCGGUAAACGGCGGCCGUAACUAUAACGGUCCUAAGGUAGCGAAAUUCCUUGUCGGGUAAGUUCCGACCUGCACGAAUGGCGUAAUGAUGGCCAGGCUGUCUCCACCCGAGACUCAGUGAAAUUGAACUCGCUGUGAAGAUGCAGUGUACCCGCGGCAAGACGGAAAGACCCCGUGAACCUUUACUAUAGCUUGACACUGAACAUUGAGCCUUGAUGUGUAGGAUAGGUGGGAGGCUUUGAAGUGUGGACGCCAGUCUGCAUGGAGCCGACCUUGAAAUACCACCCUUUAAUGUUUGAUGUUCUAACGUGGGCCCCUUACCGGGGUUGCGGACAGUGUCUGGUGGGUAGUUUGACUGGGGCGGUCUCCUCCUAAAGAGUAACGGAGGAGCACGAAGGUUGGCUAAUCCUGGUCGGACAUCAGGAGGUUAGUGCAAUGGCAUAAGCCAGCUUGACUGCGAGCGUGACGGCGCGAGCAGGUGCGAAAGCAGGUCAUAGUGAUCCGGUGGUUCUGAAUGGAAGGGCCAUCGCUCAACGGAUAAAAGGUACUCCGGGGAUAACAGGCUGAUACCGCCCAAGAGUUCAUAUCGACGGCGGUGUUUGGCACCUCGAUGUCGGCUCAUCACAUCCUGGGGCUGAAGUAGGUCCCAAGGGUAUGGCUGUUCGCCAUUUAAAGUGGUACGCGAGCUGGGUUUAGAACGUCGUGAGACAGUUCGGUCCCUAUCUGCCGUGGGCGCUGGAGAACUGAGGGGGGCUGCUCCUAGUACGAGAGGACCGGAGUGGACGCAUCACUGGUGUUCGGGUUGUCAUGCCAAUGGCACUGCCCGGUAGCUAAAUGCGGAAGAGAUAAGUGCUGAAAGCAUCUAAGCACGAAACUUGCCCCGAGAUGAGUUCUCCCUGACUCCUUGAGAGUCCUGAAGGAACGUUGAAGACGACGACGUUGAUAGGCCGGGUGUGUAAGCGCAGCGAUGCGUUGAGCUAACCGGUACUAAUGAACCGUGAGGCUUAACCUU